GGAGGGUCCGAGCGUUAAUCGGAAUUACUGGGCGUAAAGCGUGCGCAGGCGGUUUGUUAAGCGAGAUGUGAAAGCCCCGGGCUCAACCUGGGAAUUGCAUUUCGAACUGGCGUACUAGAGUCUUGUAGAGGGGGGUAGAAUUCCAGGUGUAGCGGUGAAAUGCGUAGAGAUCUGGAGGAAUACCGGUGGCGAAGGCGGCCCCCUGGACAAAGACUGACGCUCAGGCACGAAAGCGUGGGGAGCAAACAGGAUUAGAUACCCUGGUAGUCCACGCCGUAAACGAUGUCUACUCGGAGUUUGGUGUCUUGAACACUGGGCUCUCAACUAACGCAUUAAGUAGACCGCC
RNAcentral lists this ribosomal RNA (346 nucleotides) under uncultured bacterium. RNAcentral's name for it is "bacterial SSU rRNA". It matches the Rfam family "Bacterial small subunit ribosomal RNA", at positions 527 to 873 of the family's 1533-position model. The record is from RNAcentral.